RNAcentral lists this ribosomal RNA (464 nucleotides) under uncultured bacterium. RNAcentral's name for it is "bacterial SSU rRNA". It matches the Rfam family "Bacterial small subunit ribosomal RNA", at positions 398 to 865 of the family's 1533-position model. The record is from RNAcentral.
CGCGUGCAGGAUGAAGGCUUCGGGUUGUAAACUGCUUUUGUACGGAACGAAAAGGCCCUUCAAAUAAAGGGGGCCCAUGACGGUACCGUAAGAAUAAGCACCGGCUAACUACGUGCCAGCAGCCGCGGUAAUACGUAGGGUGCAAGCGUUAAUCGGAAUUACUGGGCGUAAAGCGUGCGCAGGCGGUUAUGUAAGACAGAUGUGAAAUCCCCGGGCUCAACCUGGGGAUUGCAUUAGUGACUGCAUAGCUAGAGUGCGGCAGAGGGGGAUGGAAUUCCGCGUGUAGCAGUGAAAAUGCGUAGAUAUGCGGAGGAACACCGAUGGCGAAGGCAAUCCCCUGGGCCUGCACUGACGCUCAUGCACGAAAGCGUGGGGAGCAACAGGAUUAGAUACCUGGUAUCCACGCCCUAACGAUGUCACUGGUUGUUGGGAAUCCUUUCUCAGUACGAACUAACGCGUGAAGU